GGAUGGGACAAAAUGUGCCACGUGUACCUGCAGCUUGCUCAAACACACGAUGUAAGUUAUGUUUGCGUAUUGGGCUGCUCAAACAUUGGGCUUCAUGAUUUAAUUUGGUCCAAGUACGGUCUCAUAUACAGUUUCAUCCUAUGCGUCGAGACAACCUCGCCGUCUUAUCGAUCGGACUUCCGCUGCAGAAACGGCUGCAUAACCCUCUCGUUCAAUUAGCGUAAUUAGCGCUCCCAUUUACUCCAUUAAACCAGAACCUCCACUAAUUUGCAUUCAGUAAUACCCUCGCCCUCCUCAAAGAUUUUAAAGCUCCUUGGCAAAGUAAAGUUUCUGAAGUCUCAAGCUUUACACCACCUCUGUAUUUCUCGGCAAAACCGGAACCGUCAUCUCUCGCCUCCCGCCGAAAGCUUACGCGGCGCUACGAAGCGCGUUUAAGGCGAAGAUGUCGCUGCAUAAGAAUACUUCGGCCGUCUCCGUCUUGGACAUGUGUUUUGAUCUCACCGGGUUUAAGACGGUGACUAUCCCGACGGUGUCGUUCUACUUCAGUGGUGGCGCCGUUCUGGAGCUCUCGAUCCCGACGGUGUCGUUCCAAAUUAUAAUCACUUAGGUCUUUAUCAAAGUCAAAACUCAAAGCAGAUGUACCGUAUAAUCACUCAGAUAACGAAGAGAUGAUGCACCCUGCAUUCACCAUGAAAUCUGUUGGAGUUUUGGUUCUGCUUACUGUUCUAUCAUCAGAUUGGUAUCAAGUUCAAGCCUCUGAAAUGUGAUUUUCAGACUCACAAAGAAGACAAAAUCAAGGUCCACUAUCGGGCCUAAGGCACAGAGGGGCUUGACGUUAAAAGAAACCCAACAAAUGGAGUUCUUCUCUCAGGCUGUUGAUGAGACACUUCUGUUCAUUACAUUCUCACUUACCGCUUUAGGAAGCAAAGAAUGACGUCGAAAUGAAUGAUUUAUAGGAACUUCUGGCUGAAACAUGGAAGACAUUGACAGUAUAUCGAGGAUGAAAGCUUGCUUCAAUUUGUAGAAAUAACGCUGAGGUGGAAACAUCUAGCUCCCAUUGCACCAUCAACAAUCACAGUGAUUCGACUAUUGACGCUUUCAACAGUUUCGUCUGCGAAACUGGAGCCGGAAACCAUAUUCUUGGAGCUCUAUUUGUUGAUCUUGAGCCAUUGUUAUUGAUGAAGUCUGUACCAAAACAUACUGGCAACUUUUACAUCCUGAGUAGCUUAUCUCCGGGAACAACUUCGUCAAUGUUGGAAACGAGAUUGUGGACCUUUGACUUAACAGUGUGAGAGAACUUGCCGACAACUGUUCACGCUUGCAAGGGUUAUUGGUCUUUAAUGCUGUUGGUGGAGUAAGUGGUUCAUGUUUGGGAUCUCUGUUGUUCGAACAUUUGUCUGUAAAUUAUGUAAAUAAGUCUAAACUUGGAUCCACCAUAUAUCUUUCUCCUCGGCUACUUUUCCAGAAGAAAAAAAAUACAUUACUAAUUACAUUGAAAUUGGAGUCUUCCCAAAA
This is a long non-coding RNA of Brassica napus (rape), 1515 nucleotides long. RefSeq lists it as uncharacterized. Lineage: Eukaryota; Viridiplantae; Streptophyta; Magnoliopsida; Brassicales; Brassicaceae. The transcript is spliced from 9 exons. The record is from RefSeq and is a predicted model, not a curated record.